UACGUAGGGUGCUAGCGUUGUUCGGAAUUACUGGGCGUAAAGCGCGCGUAGGCGGCUUAUCAAGUCAGGGGUGAAAUCCCACGGCUCAACCGUGGAAUUGCCUUUGAAACUGUUAAGCUUGAGUGUCGGAGGGGAUAGCGGAAUUGCUAAUGUAGAGGUGAAAUGCGUAGAGAUUAGCAGGAACACCAGUGGCGAAGGCGGCUAUCUGGACGACAACUGACGCUGAGGCGCGAAAGCGUGGGGAUCAAACAGG
RNAcentral lists this ribosomal RNA (253 nucleotides) under uncultured bacterium. RNAcentral describes it as "partial 16S ribosomal RNA". It matches the Rfam family "Bacterial small subunit ribosomal RNA", at positions 524 to 776 of the family's 1533-position model. The record is from RNAcentral.